Molecule: ribosomal RNA, 446 nt
Filed under: uncultured bacterium
Lineage: Bacteria
Description: partial 16S ribosomal RNA
Rfam family: Bacterial small subunit ribosomal RNA
Source: RNAcentral
CCUACGGGUGGCAGCAGUCGAGAAUCAUUCACAAUGGGGGAAACCCUGAUGGUGCGACGCCGCGUGGGGGAAUGAAGGUCUUCGGAUUGUAAACCCCUGUCAUGUGGGAGCAAAUUAAAAAGAUAGUACCACAAGAGGAAGAGACGGCUAACUCUGUGCCAGCAGCCGCGGGAAUACAGCGGUCUCAAGCGUUGUUCUGAAUCACUGGGCGUAAAGCGUGCGUAGGCUGUUUCGUAAGUCGUGUGUGAAAGGCGCGGGCUCAACCCGCGGACGGCACAUGAUACUGCGAGACUAGAGUAAUGGAGGGGGAACCGGAAUUCUCGGUGUAGCAGUGAAAUGCGUAGAUAUCGAGAGGAACACUCGUGGCGAAGGCGGGUUCCUGGACAUUAACUGACGCUGAGGCACGAAGGCCAGGGGAGCGAAAGGGAUUAGAUACCCCUGUAGUC